Molecule: long non-coding RNA, 405 nt
Organism: Galeopterus variegatus (Sunda flying lemur)
Lineage: Eukaryota; Metazoa; Chordata; Mammalia; Dermoptera; Cynocephalidae
Exons: 2
Source: RefSeq, a predicted model, not a curated record
AUGGCAACGGUUUGGUGUGGAGAGGGUGGCAUACUGGUUGGCAUGAACUUGAUGGGACGGGGCUGUUACAUGAAGAUUGACGAGUGAUGGGAAAUCGUAAGGAAAUAUACUAAAGGGAAUCUUGGUCAUGAUGAUUUCAUUUCUUAUUUAUUAGUACCCUGCGCAUUCCACAAGAAGACUUGACACACGGAUUGGGGGCUAGUGCUGUGAUACUUUGUGUGGUACGGAUCCUCCUGUCCUCUUGUGGACACUGGAAUCCAUCUGUGGAAGGCAAAAAUGAAAAUUGUCAGGACCUUGGAACACUUAAGAUAGGAUUAUGAAAGCCUGCAAACAUGAAUGGUUGUAGCUUAGCUACCUGUUACUUGAAGUGGAAAUACAAUAAAUAUUAAUAAACAUUAAAAAACA